This 26-nucleotide non-coding RNA is filed under the name Bombyx mori (domestic silkworm). Lineage: Eukaryota; Metazoa; Arthropoda; Insecta; Lepidoptera; Bombycidae. The record is from RNAcentral.
UUGCGAUGGCCCUCGCGGGUGUUGAC